GAUGAAGAACGCAGCGAAAUGCGAUAAGUAAUGUGAAUUGCAGAAUUCAGUGAAUCAUCGAAUCUUUGAACGCACAUUGCGCCCGCCAGUAUUCUGGCGGGCAUGCCUGUUCGAGCGUCAUUUCAACCCUCAGGCCCCCAGUGCCUGGCGUUGGGGAUCGGCGCGGCGCCCUCCGGGGCGCUGCCGGCCCCGAAAUUCAGUGGCGGUCUCGCUGUAGCCCUCCUCCGCGUAGUAGCACAACCUCGCGGCCUGGAGCUCGGCGGUGGCCAUGCCGUAAAACACCCCACUUCUGAGAGUUGACCUCGGAUCAGGUAGGAAUACCCGCUGAACUUAAGCAUAUCAAUAAGCGGAGGA
This 354-nucleotide unclassified non-coding RNA is filed under the name soil metagenome. RNAcentral describes it as "partial contains 5.8S ribosomal RNA, internal transcribed spacer 2, and large subunit ribosomal RNA". The stretch from base 1 to 120 matches the Rfam family "5.8S ribosomal RNA", at positions 35 to 154 of the family's 154-position model. The record is from RNAcentral.